GGGCCCAGCUACCAACACCUUGGACGUGGGGCUGUGGGCACAGCCACAGCCACCAGGAGCCACAUGCAGUGGGGACAAGAGCAGUCAGGCUGGGGGCACUGCCUCCCCAGCCCCCGCCCGUGCCUCCACCACGGCCCCGUCGGUCUUCCCACUGUCCCCCAAGUGUGGCACCACGUCCGGCUCCACGGUGUCCCUGGGCUGCCUGGUCUCUGGCUACUUCCCGGAGCCCGUGACUGUGACCUGGAACUCGGGCUCCCUGACCAGCGGCGUGCACACCUUCCCAUCCGUCCUCCGCUCGGGCCUCUACUCUAUGAGCAGCAUGGUGACGGUGCCCGCCAGCUCGUCCACCCAGACCUUCAUCUGCAACGUAGCCCACCCGGCCAGCAGCACCAAGGUGGACAAGACCGUGCCCUUAACUGUCGGACCUCCCCCCACCUCUUGCCCGCCUCACACAUGCCCACCUUGUGAGAACCCGGGAGGGCCCUCGGUCUUCAUCUUCCCCCCGAAACCCAAGGACACCCUCAUGAUCUCCCGGACGCCCGAGGUCACGUGCAUGGUGGUGGACGUGGCCCCAGAUGACCUGGAUGUCGAGUUCACCUGGUACAUGGACGGCAACCAGAUGACCAAGAAGACGGUGAAGGCGGAGCAGGAGCAGUUCAACAGCACCUACCGUGUGGUCCACUCCUACGCCAUCACGCACCAGGACUGGCUGAAGGGCAAGAAGUUCAAGUGCAAGGUCAACAACAAGGCCAUCCCCUCCCCCAUCGAGAGGACCAUCUCCAAGGCCAUAGGGCAAGUCCAGGCGCCGCAGGUGUACGUCCUGGGUCCACACUCGGACGAGUUGGCCAGGGACAAGGUCAGCGUGACCUGCCUGGUCAAAGACUUCUUCCCGCCGGACAUCAGCGUGGAGUGGCAGAGCAACGGGCAGCCAGAGUCCGAGACCAAGUACUCCUCGACCCCGCCCCAGAAGGACCAGGAGGGCUCCUUCUUCCUGUACAGCAAGCUCACCGUGGACAAGGCCCGGUGGCAGCGGGGGGCCCCCUUCACGUGCGAGGUGAUGCACGAGGGCCUGCACAACCACUACGCCCAGAAGACCGUCUCCUGGAACCCGGAGCUGCUCCUGGACGAGAGCUGUGCCGAGGCCCAGGACGGGGAGCUGGACGGGCUGUGGACCACCAUCUCCAUCUUCAUCACCCUCUUCCUGCUCAGCGUGUGCUACAGCGCCACCGUCACGCUCUUCAAGGUGAAGUGGAUCUUCUCCUCGGUGGCCGACCUGAAGAGGACCAUCGUCCCCGACUACAGGAACAUGAUCGGACAAGGGGCCUAGCCUCGCUCCCAGCCAGCGGCCGGCUGCCCGGACCGCCCGCCGGUCCACCUGCUCCACCUGCUGCAACGCCUGCUCCUCCGCCCUCUGACCUCGCUGGCCUCUGACCUCUCCACCCUCGGACCACAGGCCCCCCGGGCCAGCACCACGCCCUCUGGCCUCACGGCCAUCACAGGCUGCAUCCUGCCCAGGACCUGCCCCUUUGGAGAACCGAGUGGACAGCAGGUGCUCCAACCUGAGCUGACGGACACCCGCCAGCCCCUCCACGCAGCCACCAAGAUGCCCGGGGUCAUGUGCCCACCAAGGCCUCCGGGCAGCGUGUCCCUCCCCAGGACAUCACUGCCUGGGCCUCAUGCGAGUCCGUCCUGAGGGGCGGAGGCCUGGCGCCCAGUGUGUGGGCAGCAGCAGGAGGCAGGGCUCCCGGGAGGUGCUGAGUCCCCCCGGGAAGCUCCACGCGGGCCCAGAUGGCCACUCGGCCGCCUCCACCAGAGCACACCUCAGAGCCGGCCUGGCCCGGGGGCAGGGCGGUACCACCCAGGGAGGGUGGGCCUCGGCCCACAAGCCCCUGGGGCGGCGCCUGGUGACCAGGUCCCAGCAGGGGUGACCCAGCCUCCGUGGACAGAGGGGGACAUGGGUGUGGAGGUGCAGUGCCCAGAGGGCCCAGGUCGGAGCACAGGCCUGAGUCCCGCCCCUCGCCCUCCCAGGUAGCCCCUGUUCCGGGCGGGGGGCCGAGAGCUGAGAGCUGAGAGCACUGGACCGAGAACGCCGCCCGCCAUGGGGACCGGCAGUGGACAGACGUCCGAUCCCCAGGGAGCGCCCCUCGGCACUGGGAAGGAGGGAGACACGGGCCCCGUGAGGCAGGGGGCGCGCAGAGAGAUGAUUCCAAGGAAAUGCACCUUGUAGCUUGGGCCGCUUUCGUUUUCUAUUUAAUUUUCUGGAGCCCGUUCAUUGUCUCUACUGGUGUGUGCGUGUGUGGUGCAUGUGUUUAACGA
Molecule: non-coding RNA, 2316 nt
Organism: Myotis myotis
Lineage: Eukaryota; Metazoa; Chordata; Mammalia; Chiroptera; Vespertilionidae
Source: the annotation of a RefSeq genome assembly